Non-coding RNA from Pelobates cultripes (western spadefoot toad), 728 nucleotides. The record is from the annotation of a GenBank genome assembly. Lineage: Eukaryota; Metazoa; Chordata; Amphibia; Anura; Pelobatidae.
AAACAACUGUUGGGAAUAAUACACUUGCCCAUAUUUACCCAGGGCUUACUGUAUUCUGCAUUUACAAACAAACUCGCAACACUCCUCCUACAAAAUCCCCAACUUGGUACGAUGAAUAUCUCCAAAUGUAUAAUCAAUGCAAUGAUAAACAUACUGAUACUUCUCUAUAAGUUUAUUAUACUGGUCAGAUGCCUAGUCUUAUGCUGUGGGAAUAGUGGCCGAAGAAAUAAUGAAAGACCUGCAGGAUUGAUUAGCAUUCCUGAAUAUACCAUGGCAGAUGGAUGGUGGUCUGACCAGGGCUUCUUAAUUAAGGUAUGUCUAGAACCCCUGAAUACAUCUGGUAUCAUUUAAAUGUGAAUGACUGAGAGGUCAUUCAAAGAGGGGAAAUGUAAGAGUCAAUAUAGAGUUAAUUUUGCUUUUGAUAUCUACGUGACAAACUAUGUCUGUUAUUAACCACAUUCUUGUUGUGCAGCUGUUUGCGGGCAUAACAUAUAUCUGUUUCUCGGUACAGGUGUCAAUCAUGUGUUACAUCUUUUUAUUUUUGCUUACGACUCAUAUUCCACUGCAUGCAAACAAGCACCUAAAGAUUGUAUAAAUACUUCUGCCUUAAUAAAGCACAUUGAGAACUUGCAAAGUAUUUUCUAGUGUCAUGUCUGUUUCUUGCAAGUCUCUCCCAUCAUAUGGUGCAGUGAUCAGAGGUCCGAGAACCGAGGACAGGUUAUGAGUCC